This 251-nucleotide ribosomal RNA is filed under the name uncultured bacterium. RNAcentral's name for it is "partial 16S ribosomal RNA". It matches the Rfam family "Bacterial small subunit ribosomal RNA", at positions 524 to 776 of the family's 1533-position model. The record is from RNAcentral.
UACGAAGGGGGCUAGCGUUGCUCGGAAUCACUGGGCGUAAAGCGCACGUAGGCGGAUCUUUAAGUCAGGGGUGAAAUCCUGGAGCUCAACUCCAGAACUGCCUUUGAUACUGGGGAUCUCGAGUCCGGAAGAGGUGAGUGGAACUCCGAGUGUAGAGGUGAAAUUCGUAGAUAUUCGAAGAACACCAGUGGCGAAGGCGGCUCACUGGCCGAUACGUACGCUGAGGCACGAAAGCGUGGGGAGCAAACAGG